UAGAAAGUGGUGUAGUGGAAGCACAAAGGGUUUUGAUCUCUUAAGCAGGGGUUCAACACCCCUCUUUCUAA
This 71-nucleotide transfer RNA is filed under the name Nothobranchius kafuensis (Kafue killifish). Its description in RNAcentral is "tRNA-Gln". It matches the Rfam family "tRNA". From Rfam's summary of the family: Transfer RNA (tRNA) molecules are approximately 80 nucleotides in length. Their secondary structure includes four short double-helical elements and three loops (D, anti-codon, and T loops). The record is from RNAcentral. Lineage: Eukaryota; Metazoa; Chordata; Actinopteri; Cyprinodontiformes; Nothobranchiidae.